CAAGAAACCAACACAACUUUCCAAUCCAUGGCUCUUUUCAAAUUUCCUUUGCUUCUCUUUCUCUCCUCUUUCUUUCUCGACGCAGCACUAGGUGAGAUUGUUUGCGAGAAUUUGCCGAAGGAUGUAUGCGCAUUUUCUAUAGCAUCAUCUGGGAAGAGGUGCUUGCUGGAGACUUAUGCGAGGAGAGAUGGGAAGGUGGAGUACCAGUGCAGGACAUCAGAGGUUAUUGUUGAGCGAAUGGCAGAUUAUAUAGAGACAGAUGAGUGUGUAAGAGAUUGUGGGGUAGACAGAAACUCUGUUGGUAUUUCUUCUGAUGCACUUCUUGAGCCUCAUUUUACUGCCAAGCUUUGCUCUCCUUCUUGUUACCAGAAAUGCCCCAACAUCGUCGACCUUUACUUCAAUUUGGCUGCUGGCGAAGGUGCAUUUUUGCCAGACCUGUGUGAUGCUGCGAGGACCAAUCCCCGCCGUUCCAUGAUUCAGUGAUGAGCUCAGGUGCAACUCCUAGCCCUAUUGCCAGCGACUCAUCAACUUCUUUCAUUGGCGC
Molecule: unclassified non-coding RNA, 544 nt
Filed under: Hevea brasiliensis (rubber tree)
Lineage: Eukaryota; Viridiplantae; Streptophyta; Magnoliopsida; Malpighiales; Euphorbiaceae
Source: RNAcentral